UAAUACAGAGGGUGCAAGCGUUAAUCGGAAUUACUGGGCGUAAAGGGAGCGUAGGUGGCUCUAUAAGUCAGAUGUGAAAUCCCCGGGCUUAACCUGGGAACUGCAUCUGAAACUGUAGAGCUAGAGUAUGUGAGAGGAAGGUAGAAUUCCAGGUGUAGCGGUGAAAUGCGUAGAGAUCUGGAGGAAUACCGAUGGCGAAGGCAGCCUUCUGGCAUAAUACUGACACUGAGGCUCGAAAGCGUGGGUAGCAAACAGGAUUAGAUACCCUGGUAGUCCACGCCGUAAACGAUGUCUACUAGUCGUUGGGUCCCUUGAGGACUUAGUGACGCAGCUAACGCAAUAAGUAGACCGCCUGGGGAGUACGGCCGCAAGGUUAAAACUCAAAUGAAUUGACGG
This 396-nucleotide ribosomal RNA is filed under the name bacterium enrichment culture. RNAcentral describes it as "bacterial SSU rRNA". It matches the Rfam family "Bacterial small subunit ribosomal RNA", at positions 521 to 916 of the family's 1533-position model. The record is from RNAcentral.